UAUAGAAAGAGAGAGAGAGAGAGAGAGCAAGGUUGCAGUGCUCUUAGGAGCACGGAGGUCUCCGUGCUUCUGAGCCGUUUUCGAUGAUAAAAUUUUCGAAUCGAUGAUCGGCUCCGUUAGACUUGAUCUAGCGCAUUUGAAGUUUCUAGAAAAUAAUUUUUACGAUUUUUUAAUAUCAUUUACCUAGUGAUCGAAAGAAUUCAAAAUCCAUAAUUUUUAAUGGCUGAUAUCUGCCGUUUUCAAGUUUAAUGGUGUGGAAGUAUUCAAAUUCAAAUUAGAUGAAAUUUUGAUACAAAGUUCUUUAUACCAUCUACAACAAGAUCAAUAUUUCUGAUCAAAAAUUUUAUUACUAUAUAACCACUUUUUAUAGAAUUUUAUUUUCAGCCGUUAAAAAUUAUUGAUUUUGAAUCAUUUUGAUUGCUAGGUAAAUGAUAUCGAAAAAUCGCAAAAAUUAUUUUCUAGAAACUUCAAAUACUUUAGAUCAAGUUUAACGGAGCCGAUCGUCGAUUCGGAAACUUUUAUCAUCGAAAACGGCUCAGGAGUACGGAGACCUCUGUGCACAGCCGCCCUGCUCUCUCUCUCUCUCUCUCUCUCUCUCUCUCUCUCUCUCUCUCUAUAUAUAUAUAUAUAUAUAUAUAUAUAUAUAUAUACCAUUUUGUAGGGCAACAUUUAAUAUUUUAUUUAUUGUAACAUAUAUUCCUUGUAGCUAGCUUUGGAGUUGCCUAAAAAGGUUGGGAAUAGUUAACUGUUGUACCCUUCAAAAUAUUUUAUAUUUUUUUAUUUCAAAUAUAGUACGUGUGUACAAAAAAUAAUUUCAAUAUCAUAGUCCGUUACGGACUGUCUCUAGAGCAAGUGGCAAAAGGCUUGGUGGUUAAUAUCCGAGACCAAAGUUUGAUUUCUAAUUGAUUCAUAUUUCCAGCUAAGCUUAUUUCUAAAUAAAAUAAACGAAGCAGAAAGCAUGCUACCUAUCUCUCUCAAAAAAUAUUAUCGUCCAUUAGAUUAUCUUGAAUUAAAUUCACAUUAAAAUCUCAACCAAAGUUAAAAAAUACUUUUUUUUUCUUGCUACUUAAUAAGUUUUUUUUAAAACUAAUCUCAUCACAUUCUA
This 1105-nucleotide long non-coding RNA is filed under the name Ananas comosus (pineapple). RNAcentral's name for it is "long non-coding RNA (ACOM_LNC004823)". Lineage: Eukaryota; Viridiplantae; Streptophyta; Magnoliopsida; Poales; Bromeliaceae. The record is from RNAcentral.